GUGAAUCAUCGAAUUUUUGAACGCAAAUUGCACUCUCCUCUAAGAGUAUGACUAUUUGAGGGUGAGCCUAUAAAAAAUCAACAUCGUUGCUGUUUCUCGGUGGCGUUCGUCGGAAAUUGGUUCAUCUUAAUUCCUUUUGAUUUAAGCGACUUAAAAUUUGCUUUUGGUUCCAUUAACGUUUCUAAGAUAUAUUUCUUUACACGUUUAAGGUAUCGAUUUUUAUUAAACGUGACCUACACAUCGGAUCGCGACCAUAAUAUUUCAUUAACUAACA
RNAcentral lists this unclassified non-coding RNA (274 nucleotides) under Glomus sp. Its description in RNAcentral is "partial internal transcribed spacer 2". Lineage: Eukaryota; Fungi; Glomeromycota; Glomeromycetes; Glomerales; Glomeraceae. The record is from RNAcentral.